AACGAACGCUGGCGGCAGGCCUAACACAUGCAAGUCGAGCGCCCCGCAAGGGGAGCGGCGGCCGGGUGAGUAACGCGUGGGAAUAUGCCCUUUGCUACGGAAUAGUCUCGGGAAACUGGGGGUAAUACCGUAUACGCCCUUUGGGGGAAAGAUUUAUCGGCGAAGGAUUAGCCCGCGUUGGAUUAGGAAGUUGGUGGGGUAAUGGCCUACCAAGCCGACGAUCCAUAGCUGGUUUGAGAGGAUGAUCAGCCACACUGGGACUGAGACACGGCCCAGACUCCUACGGGAGGCAGCAGUGGGGAAUCUUAGACAAUGGGGGCAACCCUGAUCUAGCCAUGCCGCGUGAGUGAUGAAGGCCUUAGGGUUGUAAAGCUCUUUCAGCUGGGAAGAUAAUGACGGUACCAGCAGAAGAAGCCCCGGCUAACUCCGUG
Molecule: ribosomal RNA, 431 nt
Filed under: uncultured bacterium
Lineage: Bacteria
Description: partial 16S ribosomal RNA
Rfam family: Bacterial small subunit ribosomal RNA
Source: RNAcentral